RNAcentral lists this unclassified non-coding RNA (649 nucleotides) under Hevea brasiliensis (rubber tree). Lineage: Eukaryota; Viridiplantae; Streptophyta; Magnoliopsida; Malpighiales; Euphorbiaceae. The record is from RNAcentral.
AAGAAGAACUUGAUUCAUCACUCUACCAUGAGUCCUGUAAGGAUAUGGGCGUAUAAUGGAGCCAUCCUUGCCACUGAGAACAUAAAUAUUCCCUGAAACUGUUGGAACAACGAUAUCGGUAUGGCCAUCCCCAUCCACAUCACCAACGGCAGGUCCCUGAGGAACAAGGCUUUUAAGAUGGUUUUCCCAAAUUUCUUUGCCCUGUGCAGUCCAUGCAGCAACAUUCCCAUGUGAAUCUGUAGUAACUAGUUCAAUCUUGCCAUCGUCAUUUAUAUCAGCUGCAAUUACUGCUCCUUGGAUGUCAGCCAUUUCAAGAGGAAACUUAUCCCUCACUUUCCCCUUGUGAUCCAAGACAUAAAACAAUCCAUAAGAGGUCCCAACUAGAAUGUCCAAAUUUCCAUCACCAUCCAAAUCAACUACCGUAGGGGAAGAGUGGAUGUAGGGACGGAAGUUCCCUGAGUCAGUACUUAGGUCCAGUUGUUGAGUCCAUUUAACUUGCUUGGUAUCUAGAUUAAAAACAACAAUACCACCAGAUACAUAUUUUCCAAUCUCAAUGUCUCCAAGCUCCUUCGAAUGCUCCGAAUUUUGGUAGUACUCAUGGUCAAAGAAAUAGGAAACUGCAACAAUCAUCUCUGACACCCCAUCAUUG